Molecule: ribosomal RNA, 494 nt
Filed under: uncultured bacterium
Lineage: Bacteria
Description: partial 16S ribosomal RNA
Rfam family: Bacterial small subunit ribosomal RNA
Source: RNAcentral
GACGAACGCUGGCGGCGUGCUUAACACAUGCAAGCCGAACGGAAAGGCCUGCUUUCCCUUGUGGAUUGCGGGUACUCGAGUGGCGAACGGGUGAGUAACACGUGAGUGAUCUGCCCCCAACUUGGGUAUAAGCCUGGGAAACUGGGUCUAAUUCCCGAUAGGACUGCAGGGUGGUGCCUGUGGUGGAAAACGAUUUUCUAGUGGUUGGGGAUGAGCUCGCGGCCUAUCAGCUUGUUGGUGGGGUAAUGGCCUACCAAGGCGGCGACGGGUAGCCGGCCUGAGAGGGUGGACGGCCACAUUGGGACUGAGAUACGGCCCAGACUCCUACGGGAGGCAGCAGUGGGGAAUAUUGCACAAUGGGCGGAAGCCUGAUGCAGCGACGCCGCGUGGGGGAUGACGGCCUUCGGGUUGCAAACUCCUUUCGACCGCGAGGAAGCCACCUGGUUGGAAGGGUGGUGACGGUAGUGGUAGAAGAAGCACCGGCUAACUACGUG